CAUGGAUGAUGAUUUCAAGACUUGCUGCUAUCGAAUACAGAUCGCCCCGUGAUCAAUUUGAUAGAUUAUUAACGUUUAUUAAUACCUAAAGUUGGUUUAGAAAAGUAGUUUGAAGUGAUUUGUAAAAGUUUAUAGGAAACUUUUGUAAUUUUAAAAAGUGACGUUGCGUCUUGUAAAGGGGAUUUUUCCUGGAUCAGACCGGCCUUCAGAAAAUGACAUUUUGGGUUUACAAUGACGGAUUUAAUCGGGAAAAAGACCCAAUUGUGAUGUUUAUGGGACAUAUAGGAGUGCCAACAAAGAAGCUCGUCAAAGAUUUUGUCAGACAGGGACUUCGCACCUAUGGAUGAUUUUGCCUUUAUUGGAGCACACUUCAUAACACCUGCCUUCAUCCACGGUCGGAAGCAGUUGCCAGGGAAAGAGAGAGGGUGAUAGCCACAUAACCUGCCCCUGGUUAAGAACCUGAAGGAUGAGAGUGAAGACAAAGAAGAGGCAACACUCGUCAAAAUCAACAAGACUGGCAGUGUGGUUAAACUGCAAUACCACUGCCUGCCCUACUGCAGCUGACGCCUGCCCUCCUGCUGCUGCCUGCACUGCUGAUGCCUGCCACACUGCUGCUGAUUCCUGUGCUACUGUUGCCUGUACUGCUGAUGCCUACCCUGCUGAUGCCUACCCUGGUGCUGCCUGCCAUCCUGCCUGCAUUGCCAUUACCACUGGGGACCAUGCCUCAGGAAUACCUGGCCUGAUGACUCCUUGCUGUCCCCAGUCCACCUGGCUGUGCUGCUGCUCCAGUUCAAACUGUUUUGCCGGUGGCUAUGGAACCCUGACCUGUUCACCGGGUGUGCUACCUUGUCCCAGACCUGUGGUUUUAAUUUUUAUUUCACUUUUUUUAACCAGGUAGGCUAGUUG
This is a long non-coding RNA of Oncorhynchus tshawytscha (Chinook salmon), 906 nucleotides long. The record is from Ensembl. NCBI's taxonomy places the organism in Eukaryota, Metazoa, Chordata, Actinopteri, Salmoniformes, Salmonidae.